RNAcentral lists this transfer RNA (69 nucleotides) under Marmota monax (woodchuck). Its description in RNAcentral is "tRNA.Ala". It matches the Rfam family "tRNA". From Rfam's summary of the family: Transfer RNA (tRNA) molecules are approximately 80 nucleotides in length. Lineage: Eukaryota; Metazoa; Chordata; Mammalia; Rodentia; Sciuridae. The record is from RNAcentral.
GGGCUGGGGCUCAGUGGCAGAGCACUUGCCUGGCAUGUGUGAAGCUCUGGGUUUGAUCCCAGCAGCACA